AAAAAGUCUGAAGAAGAUCUGGAAACUCACUCCACUAUGCAUUAGCUGGACAAUUUGGCAAGAAAUGUACUAGAGAUGUUCCGAAGGAGAAAAGGACAAGAUUUAUGUUUUAAAAUAUAGUUGUUUGCAACAUUUACCGUGUUGGCAUAAGAAAGAGCAUAUAUUACCUUUUGGACUUCCUAGAUUCAAUUUUUAAGUAGAUUUUGUACUAAUCCAAUUUUAUGUAUUCUCGCUUGAUACCUACUUGGUACUGUUUCCAUUAAUAAAAUUACCUUACUUAGAAAAACUAAAAUCUUAACACACCAACCAAACAAUGUACUAUAUUAUGCUGGUUUUUAUACACAGAUUAACUGUAAUAAAACAUUAGCCAAAUGGCACCUUAUUGAAUUAGACUACACAGACUUACACAUUAGCGAGGCCUCAAUACCCAAAGGUUCAUUGAAAAGCUUUAAUACUGGGUUCAACUAUACCUAGGCAUAACUUCAUUCUAUGGCUGGCAAUUCAUCACAGACUUACCACUGUUGAUAGACUGGCAGCUUGGGGGAUACAGGUAGCAAAUGAAUGCGUAUUGUGCAACAGUGGGAAAACAGAAACAAUGGUCCAUCUCUUUUUUGAAUGUCUACUCAAGGACCAUCUGGAGUACAAUGCUCAAUUGGUUGGGAGAGAGACAUCCAGUUGGACUUUGGGAGGAGGAAGUCUUCUGGCUGACGACAAGAACAAAAAAUGGUAGGCCUUGAAAUAGCAUAUUAGUAUUCCUGUUUGCAGCCGUGGUUUAUCAUACAUGGAUAGAAAGAAAUAUGCGCAAAUUUCAGGGGCAAAAGACUGAUACCAAAACAAGAAUUCGAAAUAUUGUCCUUCACCUACAUAUCAAAGGGAAACAGAAGACUAGAUGUAAGAAGAUAUUAGAAGGAGUCAAUAGUUUUCCUUUAUGAAUAAAUGAUAGUAUAAGUAGUAGAGGGACUAUUGAAAUGUAAAUAACAGUUUAGGUAUUGUUUCUUUUUUUGAGUCUAGCUCUUUAGUCCAAAGGAUCUAGAGGAGCCAUAAUUAUCUUUAUUUGUUGAAUAAAAUCUUUUGAUAUUUGACCAAAAAUAAAUUAGACUACACAAGCCUUUUUACUCUUGUUUAAUUAAACCCUCCAUCUAUCUUUAAUUAGGGGCUAAUUAGCCAUUUUAAAAUGGAAAAUUGGCAGAAAUGUACAACUUCUUUACACUUGUUUGCACCCCUUGUGAAACAAAUAUAUUUUGCCAUGGUAGCCCAACAAAAAAUAGCAACCGCUAGCGAAAUCUCACAAACAUACGUGAAUUUUCUUCUCACUCGCUUAAUUCCUCUUCCUUCUUCUGAUCUGCUCCAACUUCUUCUCUUCAUUUCAUUUCCCUUACCCCAUAACUCUUCAUUUACAUAGGCCUAGAGAGAGAUAAAAAUAUGAAAUGAGUGUAGAUAGGCUGCUUUCAGGUGUCCUUUUGAACCUCCAAUAUCAAUACUCUCUAAUUUGGUGAAUAGUCGAAGAAGGUUCUAAAGAACCACAAUUAAAGACUAAUUUGAGGCUUCAACUCGAAAUCUGAAAUUUCUUAGUAUUUGUUUUUGAAUUUUGAGAGAGUGUGGUUGGUAUUCUUUUGAAACACUAGAUGAUGCUAUAUACAAAAUUUGAAGAAGAUUAGAGGUGAUUUGAACUGGUUUGCAGUCAAAAUUUAGAGCUGAGAUCGAGCUGAAUUACCAUCACUGCUACAUUGCAUAUCAUACAAGAUACACACAAAUAUACGGGCAUAUACACAAAUAUACAAGGGGAACAUAAAAAUACAUGAGGAUAGACACAAAUAUACACCUCUUUCCUCCCUUCAAAUUCAUCCAGUACACCGUCAUCUCUCCACUCAAAACCACCGUAGCACCACCGUCCAAUCACUAUUAGCGUACUAAUUCAGCAUGAAUACACAAUUAAAAGCUCUUUACUCACAACACCAUUUGAGUUCAAAAUUAAAUGAAGAAAAAGGAGGAAGUCUAUUCCACCACUUCAUCUAUUACAUUUUUACAUCCCAAGAAUAAGGUAUUUAUACAAUGAGUCCCAAAAUUCUAUAAGGAAAGACAAUGAAUUACUAUUAAGAAAUUAAAUAUUAUAGAGCCAAUCUAUUCUCCUACAAUUAAGUUAGGAGACCUCCUUACAUAGACAUGUGGGUCCAUCCCCAUAAAUGAAAGGGAAGAAAAAAUGUCAAACAUGGUAGGCUAUGAGAUUUGCAAAUCUGCAGAAGAAAAAUGUCAAAUAUAGUAGGCGUGAGAGAGUGAGGCUACGCCUAUAAAAAGAGAGCUUCGACUCUCAUUUCUACACACGAGCAAAGAGAGAAAGAAAGAGUGAGGCAUCACAGACAGGGUAUAAGAAAAUAGUCUGUGAGAAAAAUAGAUAGUGAGCGAUAUUGUAGUGAGGUGAGAAUAUCAAAAGAGGGUUAUUUAUUUUGAGUGUUGUAGUGGUCUUUGGAGUAUUUUACUCCGACCUACAAAGUAUAAAAUUCCUUGCUAUAGUGAUAUCAGUUGCUCGUCUCGGGGCCGUGAUUUUUUCCCUUAGUCAAAAAGAUUUUUCACAUAAAAAUCUUGGUGUCGUUGUCACUCUUUUAUUCUUGUUAAUUAUCGUAUCUCGGUGCUACUUUAUUAUUUCACUUUUAUUACUGUGAAUAUUAUUUCUGUAGGGGGUUUAUUCCUAACAACUGGUAUCAGAGCACAUGUUCUGCUCGUUCACAGAAAUACUAUUCACUGUCGGUAGUACUAUACUCGGUGAAAAAUAAAAAUGUUCGGAGUAAAGUACGAGGUAGUAAAAUUUAAUGAAGAUAGC
This 2818-nucleotide long non-coding RNA is filed under the name Nicotiana tabacum (common tobacco). RNAcentral's name for it is "long non-coding RNA (NTAB_LNC006625)". Lineage: Eukaryota; Viridiplantae; Streptophyta; Magnoliopsida; Solanales; Solanaceae. The record is from RNAcentral.